This 896-nucleotide ribosomal RNA is filed under the name Fomitopsis hemitephra. RNAcentral's name for it is "LSU rRNA". It matches the Rfam family "Eukaryotic large subunit ribosomal RNA", at positions 52 to 932 of the family's 3401-position model. The record is from RNAcentral. Lineage: Eukaryota; Fungi; Basidiomycota; Agaricomycetes; Polyporales; Fomitopsidaceae.
GGAGGAAAAGAAACUAACAAGGAUUCCCCUAGUAACUGCGAGUGAAGCGGGAAAAGCUCAAAUUUAAAAUCUGGCGGUCUUUGGCCGUCCGAGUUGUAGUCUGGAGAAGUGCUUUCCGCGCUGGACCGUGUACAAGUCUCUUGGAACAGAGCGUCAUAGAGGGUGAGAAUCCCGUCUUUGACACGGACUACCAGUGCUUUGUGAUGCGCUCUCAAAGAGUCGAGUUGUUUGGGAAUGCAGCUCAAAAUGGGUGGUAAAUUCCAUCUAAAGCUAAAUAUUGGCGAGAGACCGAUAGCGAACAAGUACCGUGAGGGAAAGAUGAAAAGCACUUUGGAAAGAGAGUUAAACAGUACGUGAAAUUGCUGAAAGGGAAACGCUUGAAGUCAGUCGCGUCGGCCAGGACUCAGCCUUGCUUUUGCUUGGUGCAUUUUCUGGUUGACGGGCCAGCAUCGAUUUCGACCGCUGGAAAAAGGUUAGGGGAAUGUGGCACCUUCGGGUGUGUUAUAGCCCUUAGUCGCAUACAGUGGUUGGGAUCGAGGACCGCAGCACGCCUUUAUGGCCGGGGUUCGCCCACGUUCGUGCUUAGGAUGCUGGCGUAAUGGCUUUAAACGACCCGUCUUGAAACACGGACCAAGGAGUCUAACAUGCCUGCGAGUGUUUGGGUGGAAAACCCGAGCGCGUAAUGAAAGUGAAAGUUGAGAUCCCUGUCGUGGGGAGCAUCGACGCCCGGACCUGAACUUCGGUGAUGGAUCUGCGGUAGAGCAUGUAUGUUGGGACCCGAAAGAUGGUGAACUAUGCCUGAAUAGGGUGAAGCCAGAGGGAAACUCUGGUGGGAGGCUCGUAGCGAUUCUGACGUGCAAAUCGAUCGUCAAAUUUGGGUAUAGGGGGCGAAGACU